ACUCGAGUGGUUGAAAUUGGCAAUUAGAAAGAUAAGUCAUUUCCAAUAGUAAUUAUUAGUCUUAAAAAUGUUCUCAGCAUCAAGGAGUCAGGGUUGUUUAAUAUAAUGUAGUUUUAAAGAAUAUAUAAAUAUAUGUAAACAUAUGUAAUGCACAGUAUAUAUAGUAUAAAUGUAGUAAUGUGAGAAUGGGGGAAUCUGGUUCACAUUUCAAUGCAGUAGGUGGCGGUAAUGCACCUUUUACGAUAAAACCAAAAGAAGAAGAAGAUGAUUUCUGAGAAGUACACAACCAAGAUAAUAGAUUUGGGUCAUAUAAGACAGAUCCAAUUACGUAGCCGAUGCUGAGUCAUGAAACCUGGCCCCGCAAUGUCUCCCCGACAGACUGAAAGGAGGUAACGACCCACAUGCGCACUCAGCAUGAAUCAGAGGUCAGAAAAGACGUGACGCCGGCCCAGUGACGAGCAGUGAAGAGUGAUGGAUGCUGAAGAGGCAUUCAAAGAACAUGCAGCGUGCAACUCGAGAGAGAGAGAGAAGACUUCAGGAUGCGGUUAUGAGCGGACAGGAUGCACAGACCACAGGAGCAGGAAGUAAAAUUCAGAACUUACUCAAAGUCAUAAUCAAACAUGGCAGAAGGGCUG
Molecule: long non-coding RNA, 635 nt
Organism: Dunckerocampus dactyliophorus (ringed pipefish)
Lineage: Eukaryota; Metazoa; Chordata; Actinopteri; Syngnathiformes; Syngnathidae
Exons: 3
Source: RefSeq, a predicted model, not a curated record